CCGAAUGGGGAAACCCAGUGUGAUUCGUCACACUAUCAUUAACUGAAUCCAUAGGUUAAUGAGGCGAACCGGGGGAACUGAAACAUCUAAGUACCCCGAGGAAAAGAAAUCAACCGAGAUUCCCCCAGUAGCGGCGAGCGAACGGGGAGGAGCCCAGAGCCUGAAUCAGCAUGUGUGUUAGUGGAAGCGUCUGGAAAGGCGCGCGAUACAGGGUGACAGCCCCGUACACAAAAGCGCAUGUGCUGUGAGCUCGAUGAGUAGGGCGGGACACGUGGUAUCCUGUCUGAAUAUGGGGGGACCAUCCUCCAAGGCUAAAUACUCCUGACUGACCGAUAGUGAACCAGUACCGUGAGGGAAAGGCGAAAAGAACCCCGGCGAGGGGAGUGAAAAAGAACCUGAAACCGUGUACGUACAAGCAGUGGGAGCACAGGUUUACCUGUGUGACUGCGUACCUUUUGUAUAAUGGGUCAGCGACUUAUAUUCUGUAGCAAGGUUAACCGUAUAGGGGAGCCGUAGGGAAACC
This 523-nucleotide ribosomal RNA is filed under the name Salmonella enterica subsp. enterica serovar Typhimurium var. 5-. RNAcentral describes it as "bacterial LSU rRNA". It matches the Rfam family "Bacterial large subunit ribosomal RNA", at positions 114 to 678 of the family's 2925-position model. Lineage: Bacteria; Pseudomonadati; Pseudomonadota; Gammaproteobacteria; Enterobacterales; Enterobacteriaceae. The record is from RNAcentral.